GUAUUCUUUAUUUUUAUUUUUAAUCCAUUACAAUCUUUUCAUUUUUAUUUUUAUAAAGAAUAAGUAAAAUUUAUCAAUAAAUGUUGAGUGUAAUGGUAAAGCUCAUUGCGUUCUCAAGGGAGAACUCAAGUUUGAUCUUUGAAAAAUGUGUUAUUGGGAGGGGCAACCAUGAACUCUAAAGGGAUUAAUUUUCUUUGAACUGUAAAACAGAUAUAAAGAAUAAUAUAAAAAAAAAAUAAUAAGCAAAAUAAGCUUAAUUCUAUAUAUAUAUAUAUAUA
RNAcentral lists this unclassified non-coding RNA (278 nucleotides) under Hevea brasiliensis (rubber tree). The record is from RNAcentral. Lineage: Eukaryota; Viridiplantae; Streptophyta; Magnoliopsida; Malpighiales; Euphorbiaceae.